CCUACGGGAGACAGCAGUGAGGAAUAUUGGUCAAUGGCCGGAAGGCUGAACCAGCCAAGCCGCGUGAAGGACGAAGGUGCCAAGCAUUGUAAACUUCUUUUGUCAAGGGACAAAAUCAGGCUCGAGAGCCUGACCGAGGGUACUUGAAGAAAAAGCAUCGGCUAACUCCGUGCCAGCAGCCGCGGUACUACGGAGGAUGCGAGCGUUAUCCGGAUUGAUUGGGUUUAAAGGGUGCGUAGGCGGACUGUUAAGUCAGCGGUAAAAGCCCGGGGCUCAACCCCGGCGAGCCGUUGAAACUGGCUGUCUUGAGAUGUCGAGAGGUAUGCGGAAUGCGCAGUGUAGCGGUGAAAUGCUUAGAUAUUGCGCAGAACUCCGAUUGCGAAGGCAGCAUACCGGCGGCGAUCUGACGCUGAGGCACGAAAGCGUGGGUAUCGAACAGGAUUAGAUACCCUUGUAGUC
RNAcentral lists this ribosomal RNA (459 nucleotides) under uncultured bacterium. RNAcentral describes it as "partial 16S ribosomal RNA". It matches the Rfam family "Bacterial small subunit ribosomal RNA", at positions 338 to 795 of the family's 1533-position model. The record is from RNAcentral.